Molecule: transfer RNA, 81 nt
Filed under: Candidatus Rhodobacter oscarellae
Lineage: Bacteria; Pseudomonadati; Pseudomonadota; Alphaproteobacteria; Rhodobacterales
Description: Candidatus Rhodobacter lobularis tRNA
Rfam family: tRNA
About the family: Transfer RNA (tRNA) molecules are approximately 80 nucleotides in length. Their secondary structure includes four short double-helical elements and three loops (D, anti-codon, and T loops).
Source: Rfam by way of RNAcentral
GCCCUUCUGGUGGAAUGGUAGACACGAAGCAUUCAAAAUGCUUUGCCUCACGGCGUCCCGGUUCGAAUCCGGGGAAGGGCA